ACAAGUAGUCAGAGCCCGUUAAUGGGUGAUGGCGUGCCUUUUGUAGAAUGAACCGGCGAGUUACGAUUUGAUGCAAGGUUAAGCAGUAAAUGUGGAGCCGUAGCGAAAGCGAGUCUGAAUAGGGCGUUUAGUAUUUGGUCGUAGACCCGAAACCAGGUGAUCUACCCUUGGUCAGGUUGAAGUUCAGGUAACACUGAAUGGAGGACCGAACCGACUUACGUUGAAAAGUGAGCGGAUGAACUGAGGGUAGCGGAGAAAUUCCAAUCGAACCUGGAGAUAGCUGGUUCUCUCCGAAAUAGCUUUAGGGCUAGCCUCAAGUGAUGAUUAUUGGAGGUAGAGCACUGUUUGGACGAGGGGCCCCUCUCGGGUUACCGAAUUCAGACAAACUCCGAAUGCCAAUUAAUUUAACUUGGGAGUCAGAACAUGGGUGAUAAGGUCCGUGUUCGAAAGGGAAACAGCCCAGACCACCAGCUAAGGUCCCAAAAUAUAUGUUAAGUGGAAAAGGAUGUGGCGUUGCCCAGACAACUAGGAUGUUGGCUUAGAAGCAGCCAUCAUUUAAAGAGUGCGUAAUAGCUCACUAGUCGAGUGACACUGCGCCGAAAAUGUACCGGGGCUAAACAUAUUACCGAAGCUGUGGAUUGUCCUUUGGACAAUGGUAGGAGAGCGUUCUAAGGGCGUUGAAGCAUGAUCGUAAGGACA
Molecule: ribosomal RNA, 699 nt
Filed under: Staphylococcus aureus
Lineage: Bacteria; Bacillati; Bacillota; Bacilli; Caryophanales; Staphylococcaceae
Description: partial 23S ribosomal RNA
Rfam family: Bacterial large subunit ribosomal RNA
Source: RNAcentral